Austrofundulus limnaeus is the source of this 643-nucleotide long non-coding RNA. RefSeq lists it as uncharacterized. Lineage: Eukaryota; Metazoa; Chordata; Actinopteri; Cyprinodontiformes; Rivulidae. The record is from RefSeq and is a predicted model, not a curated record. The transcript is spliced from 3 exons.
UACAGACGUACUUACAGAGUCUUAUAAUAAUAAUCAGACAGGUUAAAGUAAAGUGGCAGUAAUCAGUGACCCACAGGUCAGAACAGGUCAGUUAAAGUAAAGUGGCAGUAAUCAGUGACACACAGGUCAGAACAGGUCAGUUAAAGUAAAGUGGCAGUAAUCAGUGACACACAGGUCAGAACAGGUCAAGUUAAAGUAAAGUGGCAGUAAUCAGUGACACACAGGUCAGAACAGGUCAGUUAAAGUAAAGUGGCAGUAAUCAGUGACACACAGGUCAGAACAGGUCAGUUAAAGUGAUGUGGCAGUAAUCAGUGACACACAGGUCAGAACAGGUCAGUUAAAGUGAUGUGGCAGUAAUCAGUGACACACAGGUCAGAACAGGUCAGUUAAAGUAAAGUGGCAGUAAUCAGUGACACACAGGUCAGAACAGGUCAGUUAAAGUAAAGUGGCAGUAAUCAGUGACACACAGGUCAGAACAGGUCAAGUUAAAGUGGCAGUAAUCAGUGACACACAGGUCAGAACAGGUCAGUUAAAGUGAUGUGGCAGUAAUCAGUGACACACAGGUCAGAACAGGUCAAGUUAAAGUGGCAGUAAUCAGUGACACACAGGUCAGAACAGGUCAGUUAAAGUAAAGUGGCAGUAA